UGGUUUGGGUGUAAACUGAUCCUGAAUA
Molecule: non-coding RNA, 28 nt
Filed under: Mus musculus (house mouse)
Lineage: Eukaryota; Metazoa; Chordata; Mammalia; Rodentia; Muridae
Source: RNAcentral